GGUUUACGAUGCGGUGCGUGCUAAUUUGUGUCUAGUGGUUGAAAGGAAUCCAAAUUCGUGAUGAGUCGAUUCACGCUCACGAUAAUAGGGCUCCUUAUUUUCCCGAGCGUGCUCUCAUCCAGAGAAGAAAGACUGCUCCAGACGCCAUCGAAAGAGACUCUGGAACGAACAUGUCCUUGUUUGCCCAUCGAAGUAUGCCAGAAACACCAAGGCGCAGGCGGUAAUUCAGGAUGGUCGGGCUUGAUUCCAGUGUGCGAGGACUUGAGCCUGGUGCGCUGCUGCGGGGCUCCACCUAUGAAAAAAGUGAGUUAUCCCGGCCAGUUAAUACAAAAUGCCCGUUUAGAUUUCAGCCACAAUCCCAGUGAUGAAAUAAUCCGUCAUACGAGGGACACCCUGAGCGACAAGGAGUCCUUGAUGAAGAAGUCGGACGAAACCAAAGGCUUCAAGAAACAAGAUCUGAGCGAACUCAAAGGCAAAAUACGGCCACGCAGAGCUGUUGACGAUGAUGAAGCCGUAGUCACAACUCAAAUGAGUGAUGCAAAAGUUAAUGUUACAGUUAUGUUGCACGCAGUUAAUGAAACCAAAAUUCAGUCAGAGAGUGAGACGAAAAAUGCACCUGCAGUCAUCGUUGAACAGGAAAUGCAUCCAGCGAAUGAUAUGAAAAGCGGAGUGACACCCAUCACCGGAGGAGAGGUAUCGUCAGUCACUGAAAUGAAAAGUGACGUGGUAGCCACCACAGCGCCAGAGAUGCAUUCAACGAUUUUAGAAAAGAGUGAAGGGACAGUCUCAGCACCGCAGAAAAUGCAAAUGAACGAUGAUUUAGAGAAAGCAGCUGCAGUUACCACUGAGCAAGUGAUGCACUCAACUAGUGAUAUGAAGAAUGAGAUGGCAGCCAACGUUGAGUCAGGGAUACAAGAGAAAAGUGAAGCAACAGUCGUUCCUGAAGGAAGUACCCAGUCAGGUAUCGUGAUGACGAAUGGAGUUGAUGUCACCACGGAGAAGGAGAUGCAUCUUAUCGAAGAGGCAAAGAAUAAGACUGUGAGUAUGAUCGCUCCAGAAAUGCGCAUGGUCAACGAAAUGGGAAGUGAAGGUACAUCCACAACCGAACAGCAAAUUCCUUCAGAAUCUGAAAAGGUCAACGGAGCAUCAUCCACCUCAGGACUCGUUAUGAAUGAUGAAGUUGUAACUGCAAAUCCUUCGGUCACUUCGUCCGAAAAUGAGAUAAAAAUCCCCGAGGUGAAAAUUCAAGUUACAGACAACUCAACACAAACUGGGAGCUCUGAUGGCAGUCCUACAGCACGUCAGGAAAUUUCGACGCCGGAUUUGAGUUCUAAAUCUCUCGAAGAGGUCACCACUGAAAAUUCUGCCAAGUUGUCAACUGAAUCUGUUGAAAUGACAUCAUCCAGCUCAUCAGAUAUUAGCACCACGAUUCUGAGUUCAAGUGCACCAAAUGAUGAAUCAUCGGCAAAUCGUGAAAUGACUGAGCAAAGUCCGGCAAAAAUUGACUCAGCGAGUGAAGUUGCGACCCUUUCACCCUUAAUGGACAGUAGCUCUGUCAAGGCAGAUUCUUCAAAUGUGAAUGUAAGCAGCACAGAGAGAAGUAUUCAAGCUACAACUCAGGACAAGUCAAUCUCAACCAGUAAAACUUUCCCCAUAGAUUUUAGUAAGGUGAAAAAGUCUAAAUAUUUGGAUGUUAAAGAAGAAGUAGAAUCCAAAGUUGCUGUUGUGUAUGCAAAACCUGCAAGCGCCGAGGAGGAGAAAAUAAACGAGGAACUGAAGAAGAAGUUGGAUUCCAUGAUCCGAUCCAGUUUGAACACGACCGAUGGACCAAGUCAUGAUGAUGAUCGCCAUCAUAUCCAGCACAUUCCGUUGGGAAAACGUUUGAUAAUUUACAAAAAAAUAAAACCGUCCGAUAAGAAAGCCAUUAAGGAAUUGAUAUACGACAGCUUACAAACGGCAAAUCAAACUGAUCGCGCCUCUGGUGAACUUAAUGAAACAGUUUCAAGUGCUACUCCAUCAGCAGAUAAUUCAACAAAUACUGUUAAAGAAGCCGCUGAGGCAUCUAAUGUUACAGAGACCAAGUCGAACCCAGAGAAAGAUUCUGAUGAUACUUUGGAGGCUGCUCAAAGUUCGCAAGUUCCAGUCUACGUAUUAAGUCCAGGUGCCGCAAAUAGUUCACCUGCUGAGGCAGCCGAGGAGGAACAUUCAGCCAAAAUUGACUUCGUUAAAAAGGGUUCAGGGGCACCAUUUAAUUUUGCGAGCAGGUUUUCACCCCCUGGUGUUGGAGUUAAGGUGGCAGAUACUCCGCAUACAUCGACGGAGCACACAAACCGUCCUACUGCUAACAGAGGGCGAAUAAAGUUCCAAGAAAGUAUUAUGAAUGAUCAGCUGAAGGAGAAAAAAGCUGCUGCAGAAAGAGGACACGUAAGUAGUACGAUUGACACAGUGUCGACCGACAUCUCUGUUAAUCAUCCAACCAGGAAAAAUUUCAAUCGACCCUCUGUGGGAUCAGUCAUUCCUUCGAACAAUUCUCCGGUAGAAUCCAAUCCUCAGGUUAAUCCUUCAACUAAUUCGAACAGCCGACUUGUCAUACAAACCCAGAGUAUCCUUAAAAAACCAGUUCCAACAUCAGCUUCCCCUUCAACGGAUUCUUCACCAAUAUUAAACCACCAUAAUGCUGGCUCAAACACGCCAAGUGGCGUCUCUGCCGAACAUGCUACCAAAAAUCAGUUUGAGCAAUCCCCAUCACAACCAGCAGUUCACACGACGGACUCUUCCGGUAAGUUCGAAUUCCAAAAUAAGCCCCCCACAACCCCUGAGGUCAAACAUUAUUUGAUCAAUCAUUCAAAGGCUGAGCAGGGAGACGGAACUGCCCAAUACGAGUUUAUCGGUCAAACUGAGAGCAAUUUGAAGGGUGACGCAGUCGUUUUCCCAAGUUCGGUCGAGCAUGAAAAUAAACCAAAUCAAAACCAAACGAAGGAAGAAAAAACUCUUUAUUUGCAAAGCACGGAAAAGGAUGGCACCGUUCAGCUGAUAGAAAAUCAAGCUGCGAUUUAUCAAGAGCGCGCUCAAGAGGGAGAUUCAAGCCCAGUGCCACCCACGCAAUCAGAGAGUAGCCAGGUUGCAAACACCGUUGCUCCGUCGAGUCAUGUUGCCGGCGACAAAACACAUCACUCAGCUGGGUCCGUCGAAAAGGAUAAAGCUGCAAGUUCACGCAGACCCGAUUACCAGAGCAUAAGACGUCCGGAAAGUGAGCCCCAACUCACGCCGCAGAUAGUGAAAAACCAAGUAAAUUUGCUUCUCCGAGCCGUAUCAGAGGUGGUCCGAAGAAGCAAAACGGGUUGA
This 3345-nucleotide long non-coding RNA is filed under the name Bemisia tabaci. Its description in RNAcentral is "lncRNA ENSASIAIIG011699". The record is from RNAcentral. Lineage: Eukaryota; Metazoa; Arthropoda; Insecta; Hemiptera; Aleyrodidae.